GAGCUGGUGCUGCCUCCUUCUUGGUCUCUUCUUUGGGCUCCUCAGUAACAGUUUCUGCAGGAGUCUCCUCAGGAGUUUCUUCUACUGCUGGAGCUGCAACCUCUUCAGGCUCAGCUUUUGCUGGUUCUUCAACAACCUCCUUGGUUUCAACCUCAACUGCAGGUUCAGCUUCAGGUUCUGCGGCCGGGGCAACAGCGGGUGCUGCUUCUGUUAGUUCUUCGGCUACUGGCUCAGAGGCGGGUGGUGCAGUUUCAGUGGUUGUCUCCUCGGUCUUGGUCACCUCAGGUACCUCAGCCUCUGGAAUUGCUGGAGCAGCUGCAACCUGCAACAAUAAGCAUACUGAUAUUUAUCUCAAAAUGUAUAAUCCAAUGGAAGAAAGCUAGAAGAAGGGUUCUUUAAGAUUCAUUUUUUCUUAAUCAUCUGCUGAUCAUCCAUUCUAUCUACAGAAGUAGUUUCCUUUAACAACAAUCAACAAAAGCUUAGAAUAUGUAGAAUUCUUGCUAGAACAUAAAGAAACCUGUAGGUUGAUCAAGAAAAGAAGUUUCAAUAAACUGUAAGAUUGAAUCCUCUCCAUCGCAAUCCUCAUAUAAACAGAAGGAUCGGAUGAAAUCUAGCAUAGACAAUAUUGGAGUGGUCUAUCACUUGAGCUAGAGGUAGAAAUUUGAUCAUCAUCAAUAUAACAAGAUCAGGUUAUGAAACUUAUUUGAUCAUAAAAGUAGUAAACAACAAAUUAUAACUUGAUCAAUAAGAUAAUAUUAUACAAAAGGGCUAAUCAAUUAAUACAAGUUGAUGAAUAUCAGAUAUUAUUGUAAAACUAAAAUGAGACUGAGUGAUAUAUCACUUGAGCAAGAUCAAGAUGGGUUGUAAUAGCAUUCCACUAAGAAAUAUUUUAGAAGACAUUUUUACCUCAACAGUAGCCAUUUGGUUAAAAGCUAACAGGAUUGAAGAAAGAUUGGAGAAAAGGAGGAAGGAGGGUUGGU
This 980-nucleotide long non-coding RNA is filed under the name Populus trichocarpa (black cottonwood). RNAcentral describes it as "long non-coding RNA (PTRI_LNC003559)". Lineage: Eukaryota; Viridiplantae; Streptophyta; Magnoliopsida; Malpighiales; Salicaceae. The record is from RNAcentral.